RNAcentral lists this transfer RNA (71 nucleotides) under Phelsuma laticauda (broad-tailed day gecko). RNAcentral describes it as "tRNA-Pro". Lineage: Eukaryota; Metazoa; Chordata; Lepidosauria; Squamata; Gekkonidae. The record is from RNAcentral.
CAGAAGGUAGUUUAAAUAAAAAUACUGGUUUUGGGGACCAGCGAUGGAUUUUUACAUUCUCCUUUUGAUGU